UUCUAAUGCCAUACCACUCUGAUCCUGGAAGCAAAGCAGGGUCGUGCCUGGUCAGUACUUUGAUAGGAGACUGUCUGGGAACACUGAGUGCUGUAGGAU
Ribosomal RNA from Cercocebus atys (sooty mangabey), 99 nucleotides. The record is from Ensembl. NCBI's taxonomy places the organism in Eukaryota, Metazoa, Chordata, Mammalia, Primates, Cercopithecidae.